AAAGGUUUUUAAAAUACCAGAAAAGCAGUGCAGCAGAUAGCUGGAUGGAGGGGCUGAGAGCAGUGGAGGUGAGAUAAUCAGCCAACUGUACAAACCAGAAAGCCAGGAAUGGUUUCCAUUAGAGGCCAUCUGGAUGUAAAUGACUUCAUGUGCAGCUCUGCAUUGAAUGGCACAGCGUCACCAGGGAAAAGCACUAAAACCACAUCCUGUCACAGACAGUCACAGAUCGGAAAUCCUGAGGGUAACAGCUCACCCUAUCAAGUGCCCUGCAGAGCCACUUGGGGUAAAUCAGAUGAAGGACGGAGGAUGGAGGCAUUCUGCACUCGAGUUAAAAUCAAGCCAAGAAAUGAAUCUCUUGUUAGGAAUUUUGCCUGGUGAAUCAUGUUGAACUGAGAGCUGUCUGUGGUGAGCACAGGCAAUAUCCAAUCACUAGCUGUACUUCACCUCCUCACAGUUACACCCUGCUGUGUGAGGAAAGUGUCUCUCUUCCUCAGAAAACAAGAUCCAAGGUGCAAAACCCAUCAACUGGGGCGUCAUGGAAUAUCUUGGAAAAUUUUAGAGCUAGUAAUUUCCUUCUGCCAGGAAUAAUUUGGUUUAGUCUUUCUUUUUCUAAAUGUCCACAUCAGCAGUGGAAUAGCAAAACAUGAAUUGGACUGCCUAUGGACCGUGAUUUACUGUCACUCUUUCCGACCAGGCUUAGACUACAGGCAGGUACUAACCCAGAAGGCAGAAGUCUGGAGGCCUGAAAGAAUUACAGGACAAAAUACUGGCCCCUCACAGGAACUGAGCAAGACUUGAGUGUCGGAAGUCCAGACAUGUAUUACAUUUAUUCAUUAAACAAUGAUGUACUGAGUGGCUAUGUUGAACCAUUUGCUUCAUCACACAACUGGGACACAUUGGUGGUGGAAUGCACAAGAAUCCUUGUGAAAUGAAGUCUGCACAUUCUAAAAGCAGGAGACCAGCAAUUAACAAUACAUGUGAUAACAGAGUAAAUUCUGCAGUGUGUUGGAAGCUGAGAAAUUCUACAGGAAAAAAUAAGGUAGGGCAGUAGGGACCAAGAUGUCAAGUUUCAAAGAUGGGGUCUGCAUCUCAUGGCCCAUGUUUCAGAAGUUUCAGUCCACAGUUAGCUGGUUCCAUCCCCUUAAGCCUGUGGUGAGGCUGAAGCAGCAUGGUUUCUACCACGAAAGGGCACGGCAGAGGAAAACUGCUCAUCUCAACGUGGCCAUGAGGCAGAGAAGAAGAGAAAGGGCCAGACAGGAAGGGGCCAGGGUGUGAAAUACUCUGCAAAGACGUGGCACCUCCACUUAGACUAUCACCUCCUAACAGCCCGUUCAGCUAAGGAGCUCAUCAGCGGGUCGACCCACGGGUGAAGUUAGCAUCUUCUUGAUUUCAUCACCGCUGUGGGCCCCACCUCUGAACACUGCCGCACCGGCGUUCAAGCCCUCAGUGC
RNAcentral lists this long non-coding RNA (1450 nucleotides) under Heterocephalus glaber (naked mole-rat). RNAcentral's name for it is "lncRNA (ENSHGLG00000050370.1)". Lineage: Eukaryota; Metazoa; Chordata; Mammalia; Rodentia; Bathyergidae. The record is from RNAcentral.